AGAUUGAACGCUGGCGGCAUGCUUUACACAUGCAAGUCGAACGGCAGCACGGGGGCAACCCUGGUGGCGAGUGGCGAACGGGUGAGUAAUGCAUCGGAACGUAUCCUUGAGUGGGGGAUAACGCAGCGAAAGUUGUGCUAAUACCGCAUAAUACCUACGGGUCAAAGCAGCAAUGCGCUGAAAGAGGGGGUCGCGGCCGAUUAGCUAGUUGGCGGGGUAAUGGCCCACCAAGGCAGUGAUCGGUAUCCGGCCUGAGAGGGCGCACGAACACACUGGAACUGAAACACGGUUCAGACUCCUACGGGAGGCAGC
Molecule: ribosomal RNA, 312 nt
Filed under: uncultured prokaryote
Description: bacterial SSU rRNA
Rfam family: Bacterial small subunit ribosomal RNA
Source: RNAcentral